Molecule: long non-coding RNA, 1531 nt
Organism: Triticum dicoccoides
Lineage: Eukaryota; Viridiplantae; Streptophyta; Magnoliopsida; Poales; Poaceae
Exons: 4
Source: RefSeq, a predicted model, not a curated record
GAGUUCCUGCUUUAGUUGGAGCUAAUGUGUGUAUUGUAACUUAGCUGAUAUUCAUUUCUUAACUACUUUAGUUCGCAUACUGGCUAUGGCAGAUAGGAUUGUGAGGCCAGCCUCGACGUGCAAGCCUGUCUGCUGUCCAAUUUCUAUUCUGAAGCAGGAGCCAAGUGUAGAACUUAACCUCCCCCUCUGCCUUUGCCUUCCAAACCACUUCGAGCUGCGGUUGCGGGAUACGGCCGAUGAAUUGAGCUUCAAUGUCUACUCUCUUCUGAUUUUUAACAGGAGUCAGCUGCUCGAAAGGAAGAAGCUUGGGCUGGAGUGGAGAGAACCUUGAACUCUCGUCUUCAUGUCUACUCUCCUGAUUUUUUUGUUAGCAGUGGGGCGGAAAAAUAACGAAGAUAACUAGAACUACAACAUGAGAUUUAAUUGUUAUAAACGUAGUUGAUUAGGGGCAUCACAAGGAAUGGCCCCAUUAGUAGCUAUUUUUGUGCAGUUGUUUAUGCUUUUCAGCAAUUAAUAGUACAUACAAAGAUGUCUGCUAUCUUGUUUUAACGCAAUCAGGGAGAAAGCCAGAAACAUUCAGCGACAUAGUUUUACUUUUAUCUGUUCUACUCAAAUAUUCAGGAAGCGGAAGCGAAAGCUGCUGCCUCAGAGGAAAAGGAGCGGUCUAUAAAUGAGAGACUGUCACAAAAUUUUGUCCCGCAUAACUGUUCUGGAGACUCAGAUUACAAUUCUUAGGACAGAACACAGACAGCUGAGCCGAUCUGUUGAAAAGGAUAGACGAAGAGCAUCUGAAAGUAGACAGUAGUACCUAGCAAUUAAGGAGGAGGCGGCAUUACAAGCAGGACAAGCCAAACGGCUUGAAGAAGAAGAAAAGGAGCUUAGAGCUAGGCACACAAAUGAGCUGCAGGAAGCAGCAGAACACAGGGGGCUGCUUGAGAAGAUCCGAGGAGAUCAAGAGAGAGGAAUUGAGAUGCACUUGGGGAAGAAGUCGAGCUAAGAGGGCCAGCCGGCCUUGUAUACUAUAAAGUGUAUUAACUAUAUGCUCUAGCCAUUGGCUGAAUUCAGAAUAAGGGGAUGGCUGUUAUAUAGCCCGACACAGCAAGAAGUAAAACAGUAAUUAAGUAACCGUGUCAUAUCCGGCGAGCAGUGCGAGCCGUCGAUCCUCUUUUCACUUCCAUCGUAAGCCGUCGGAUAAUUGAACGAAACAGUACGCUUGACGAACAGGGCUGAUGCCUGACACUGAAGGAUAUGUACAGAGAACAAGUGGAUCUUCUUGUUAGCCAGCUCCAGACAUUGGGCGCUCGUGUACAGUGUGCUAUUGACCAAAGACAAGAGUCUUGAAGGCUGAACAUGUUCCGUCAAAACCGCAGCGAGUGUGGGAAGUUCAUAGUCAUGCGAGAUAUAUUGAUUUUGUGUACACCGUGACGGAUCUUUAUUGUCGACUUCACUAGGAUAUAGUGUGUUGUACACUUAGACUGAAUAGCUUCACAGUUUUACAUAUUGCUUGCAAAUGUUUCAGUUUUUGAACUUA